This 2692-nucleotide long non-coding RNA is filed under the name Homo sapiens (human). Its description in RNAcentral is "HSALNT0133775". Lineage: Eukaryota; Metazoa; Chordata; Mammalia; Primates; Hominidae. The record is from RNAcentral.
GUUUUCUUCUUUGUAACAGCAACAAUGACCACGGCUCUGUGCCAUGGCAAUCACUGCUGAGUAUCUUCUCAUUAAUGCAGAACCUGUGCAGAACCACCAUCAGAUUCUCUCCACAGCGGGAGACCUGGCGCUCCAUGGCCAGGCGAAAGUCCUCCUUCACGCCUUUGGUGAUGCCUCGAGUUACAGUGUGGUGCCUGAGGUCAGCAAUAGGGAAACAGACAAAGACCAGGGGUUAGCACCAGCAUCGCUGAUCGCUGCUACUUGGGUAGGAAUAAAGCCUGCCCCAUAUCUAAGUAUAAUUUCAGAUAUUUUAAAAAGAACACAAGAAUAGCUGCAACCAACCAAACAUUCCAGCCCAUUUCUCUUCAGAAAGACUUAAAACUAGACAGACAUCUUUCUCACUCUAUAAAAGGUUACUUCAAACAUUUAAUUGUUCAGUAAAAUGCCACCUGCUUUGCCUUUGAAUCAAUGAAGCUCUGGUGUUAUGCAUCCCUACUGCUGACUGGUACACAAUUCAGUUACUUAGGGCCAAAUGGGUCCAGUCCACACUGGCUACAAAGAGCUCAUGUCCAGCCCGGCCAGCAGACCCUCCAGAGGCAGCAGCAAGGAGGGAGGAGACCUGAAUGAGCCAAUCACCCAAGUGAGCUCCCACCAUGGCCCCCGCAGCUGGUGCUCCCAGAAAGGUUCAGGGCUCCUGCACAGCCGGGGUCACAAGCACGUCUCUCUCCCCAGGACACCAGAAUAGGGCAGCUCCUCUAAAUGCUGUGCCCAUCUAGACUCUCAUAUGUUGAAGAAAACGCAGCGGGAGGUGGGGUCCUGACACAAGAAUGUGGCACAGGUCAGGAGAGAGAGGCAGAAUCUCUGAGGGGCAGAGGGAGUGGACUGCGUGGUCCUGCGCUGUCUGGGCACUCAGGGGAGACCUGCACAUGUGUGGAAGGGGUGGUGGGGACACAGGGAAAAAUGUCUCUUAACUACACCCCAAAGGUUGUGCUUUAGAAAAAGAAAUCACACAUGAAAUCCCAGGAAACGGAAGAAACAAAAUGAAGAAACGAAAAGAAAAAUCUAGCAAAAAUCAGUCAGCUCAGUUAAGAGGAAGGGAGUUUUACCUACUAGUUCAGCAAUUUGGUAGACUUAGACAAAUAAAAGUCACCUCUGUUUCCCACCCUGAUGCCUAAUUUCCCUCACACAAAGUUAUAAGGAUUGAAAAUGAAGAUUUUUUUAUGUUCUGGGCAAGAUAAAAGUGUUAAAAUUACUCUAAAAUGUUUCUGUUUUUAAAAACUUGUAUUAAUGAUCAUAUCAAAUAAGGACAACAGGAGUCACCAAAUUGUAAAACAACAGAUGAAAAGAAAAAAAAAAUCCAGCUUUGUUAGAUAAGUAAAGCUAUCACAGAACCUUCUAAUGCCCAUGGAUGUUUUAAAGAACUACAGGGGAAAACAGCAGGGCCGUGGGGUAAAUGCACACUUCUUUGUGACUAUCUCUCGUCAAAUCUGGAUGGGUAGCUCAGUAGUUAGGACAUAGCAUCGGUGAGGUCCCGCUAGGAUAGAUGCAAACCAUUUAUGCUGCCCUGAGAUACUGCUCUUCUGGGUCCCAGGCUGCAGCCUCAAACUGGAGCUGACCCUCUGACCAAGCGGAGGUUACUGGCACUUGCAGACAGUUAGCUAAAGGGCAAACCCUCCUUUUUUUUUCUUUCUUUCUUUCUUUUUUUUUUUUUGAGAUGGCAUCUUGCUAUCUUGCUGUGUCACCCAGGCUGAAGUGCAGUGGCAAUGAUCUCAGCUCACUGCCACCUCUGCCUCCUGGGUUCAAGCAAUUCUUGUGCCUCAGCCUCCCGAGUAGCUGGGAUUACAGGCAUAUGCCACCAGGCCUGGCUAAUAAACCCUGCUUUUAAUACCACUAAAAAUAUAACUAAAUGCUACAUCCUGCAGAUCAGGGUCCAAUUUGUAUUAUCUCCAUAUAUAAAGAGUGGCACAAUUCAAUUAUAUUUCUAUUAGAAGCACUAUCACUUUGGUAAGUUUGGAUGAAAAAGAGAAUUAGUAAGCUUUUGUGGUUUAAGAACAGGAUAAACCAGCUAAUAAAUGUGGCAUUUUAGCCUAUCAAAUAUUUUCAAUUCAGAAAGGUAAGGUCUGAAAAAACAUCAGUAGCAGGAAAAAAAACACAUUAGUGCCUAUUUAGAUACCAGGCAACUAAUUGCUAAUAUGACCAUAAUGACUGGUCACUCAUAUGAGUAUCCACAAAUAAAAAUGUACUUAAAAUAAACGUCAGCAUCCUUAAAUAUAUAUGACCGAAAGCCUUAACGUUUUAUCAAAAGAGAAUCAUGGUGCACCUAAGCUAAUGUGCACUUAAUUGAAUACAGAUUUAUAUAGCUUUCAUUGUUUUUUCCAGAUCCAUAAUGAUUUUUAAAUCGAACACAAACACACUGGCAACUUAUGGAAAAAAAAUAAGAAAUGUUACAAUAUUACAACCAGAUGGUUUGCCAAAAUGCGGAACAAAUUAAAAAAGAAAGAAAGCAUGAAAAAGAGCACUGAGGAACGAAGAGCUGAGAACCAUGGGCAGCGAACAUGUUGACAAACAGCACACUAUGAGCGGGCGUUGAUUCCACUUGGUACCUGUCAGCAGUCUGUAUGCUGGGCUGAAGCACAGGUAAGAAUUCCUGCUGCAGUAACCCCAUGGGAGGGCUAGAAGGCCUUUAAAAAAC